RNAcentral lists this non-coding RNA (148 nucleotides) under Homo sapiens (human). The record is from Rfam by way of RNAcentral. Lineage: Eukaryota; Metazoa; Chordata; Mammalia; Primates; Hominidae.
GCUGGGUGUGGUGGUGCGCGCCUGUAAUCCCAGCUACUCGGGAGGCUGAGGCAGGAGAAUCGCUUGAACCCGGGAGGCAGAGGUUGCAGUGAGCUGAGAUGGCGCCAUUGCACUCCAGCCUGGGUGACAGAGUGAGACUCAGUCUCAA